This 523-nucleotide ribosomal RNA is filed under the name uncultured bacterium. Its description in RNAcentral is "partial 16S ribosomal RNA". It matches the Rfam family "Bacterial small subunit ribosomal RNA", at positions 28 to 523 of the family's 1533-position model. The record is from RNAcentral.
GAUGAACGCUGGCGGCGUGCCUAAUACAUGCAAGUCGAACGCUUUUUCUUUCACCGGAGCUUGCUCCACCGAAAGAAAAAGAGUGGCGAACGGGUGAGUAACACGUGGGUAACCUGCCCAUCAGAAGGGGAUAACACUUGGAAACAGGUGCUAAUACCGUAUAACACUAUUUUCCGCAUGGAAGAAAGUUGAAAGGCGCUUUUGCGUCACUGAUGGAUGGACCCGCGGUGCAUUAGCUAGUUGGUGAGGUAACGGCUCACCAAGGCAACGAUGCAUGGCCGACCUGGGAGGGUGAUCGGCCACACGGGGACGGAGACACGGCCCAGACUCCUACGGGAGGCAGCAGUAGGGAAUCUUCGGCAAUGGACGAAAGUCUGACCGAGCAACGCCGCGUGAGUGAAGAAGGUUUUCGGAUCGUAAAACUCUGUUGUUAGAGAAGAACAAGGAUGAGAGUAGAACGUUCAUCCCUUGACGGUAUCUAACCAGAAAGCCACGGCUAACUACGUGCCAGCCGCCGCCGUAA